Molecule: unclassified non-coding RNA, 313 nt
Filed under: Hevea brasiliensis (rubber tree)
Lineage: Eukaryota; Viridiplantae; Streptophyta; Magnoliopsida; Malpighiales; Euphorbiaceae
Source: RNAcentral
CUUUAAGCUUGAGACGAGCGCACUACGAGUCGGUGCUUCUCUUUUCUUUAACUUGUCCUCUCGUCCACCACCAAAGCCAAUGGCUUCUCUGUUCAAAGAAAUUCCUUCCAUGUCAACUCUGCUCUCUGCCUACGCCUCAAUCUCUACCUUGUCCAUGCUCAUCCGUACAAUCGUUAACGAAAUGAUCCCGAAGCGUAUGCGGGAUUUCAUCACCACCAAAUUCUCUGAUUUCUUUUCUUCCUAUUUCUCUUCGGAUUUCACCUUCAUCAUUGAAGAUCGCUGGCAAGCUGUUAACAGCGAAACUUUCCGUGCU